This 352-nucleotide unclassified non-coding RNA is filed under the name soil metagenome. RNAcentral describes it as "partial contains 5.8S ribosomal RNA, internal transcribed spacer 2, and large subunit ribosomal RNA". The stretch from base 1 to 120 matches the Rfam family "5.8S ribosomal RNA", at positions 35 to 154 of the family's 154-position model. The record is from RNAcentral.
GAUGAAGAACGUAGCGAAAUGCGAUAAGUAAUGUGAAUUGCAGAAUUCAGUGAAUCAUCGAAUCUUUGAACGCACAUUGCGCCCGCCAGUAUUCUGGCGGGCAUGCCUGUUCGAGCGUCAUUACAACCCUCAGGCCCCCGGGCCUGGCGUUGGGGAUCGGCGGAAGCCCCCUGUGGGCACACGCCGUCCCUCAAAUACAGUGGGGGUCCCGCCGCAGCUUCCAUUGCGUAGUAGCUAACACCUCGCAACUGGAGAGCGGCGCGGCCAUGCCGUAAAACACCCAACUUCUGAAUGUUGACCUCGAAUCAGGUAGGAAUACCCGCUGAACUUAAGCAUAUCAAUAAGCGGAGGA